UUGAAACAAACAUGGAUGCAUCAUUCUGUGUACAUUCUGUUACAGUCCACUUAGGAUCACGUCAGAGUGUGACUCAUCUGCUGUGCCACAUUCAGGAUGUACUUUCCUCCUGGACUCUUUAAAUAUAGUUGAUAAAUCUGUGCAGAAAGGAUUUUGCAAAGAGCAUUUAUCAAACAAAUCGAAAACGAAUGCAUCAAAGACCCCUGAAGUUCUGCAGACUGUGAGUCAUUCCCAAAAGUUUCCACAAGAUGACACUCUUUCUCCAAAAUUAGACUCACUAACUUGUGCGGAGCUUUUGAAGAAAAAUGUACCUACAUCCAAAGCCUUACACAGUCUACGAAUGAAGAUCCAGCAACAGAAACUGAGGAGAGAGAUUCAAACUCCAGCACCUGGGAAGAAAGAUCGGCAACAUCUUACCAGAAAAAUGUGCAGGGUGACAAACAAAGCAGAGCAUUCUACGUACAUAUCCGCCUGGAGGAAUGCCCAAGGGCUUGUGAAACUAAUUUUGAACUCACCUUGCACUGCUGUUUCACAGGCUGAAAGAGUCAGCAUUAAGGAUCAGAGCAAGUGGUCAAGCAAGAAGGCUCCGGAACAAUGUGUUGUUUUGAAUGCUCAAACAAAUGGAGACCUAAGUUCAAACCAAAUCAAAAAGGAUGAGAAUUCAUCUAAGGAGCAUCCCAGCCCCUUGAGAUCUCAAGCUCAAGUCUUAUAUUCUUCAGCAUCUGGAAAGACAUUCCUAAGCCGUGCAGCUUCUUCAUACCCGGUCAAAGCAGUUCUGUUGGCACACAGAAAUCAUUACUCACAAAAUUCUACCUUAAAAGUGUUUGCUAAAAACUACGACAUUACAAAGACAACAAAACCACUAGUAGCAGGUAAAGAAAAUGAAGGCCAAACUAAAUCAAACGGGCAACCUAGAAAUAACAUCCGAGAGGUGCGUGAAUAUAUGCAUCACCAGGCCGUUGAGAGAAGGAGAAAGGUGCUGCAAAUGAGGAAAGAAGCACAGCGAGAGGACGAGAGGAGGCAAAGGAAUAUGCAUGAAGUAGUUAAAAAACAAAGGCAAGCGCUCCACAGGGCCAAGAGAGAACAGCAACAGGAGUACAAGGUAUGUAAAUGAAUGUUGUCUGGAAAAAGCAAA
This 1135-nucleotide long non-coding RNA is filed under the name Sinocyclocheilus anshuiensis. RNAcentral's name for it is "lncRNA (ENSSANG00000040012.1)". Lineage: Eukaryota; Metazoa; Chordata; Actinopteri; Cypriniformes; Cyprinidae. The record is from RNAcentral.